RNAcentral lists this unclassified non-coding RNA (276 nucleotides) under uncultured fungus. RNAcentral describes it as "partial contains 5.8S ribosomal RNA, internal transcribed spacer 2, and large subunit ribosomal RNA". The record is from RNAcentral. Lineage: Eukaryota; Fungi.
AACGCACAUUGCGCCCGCUAGUAUUCUGGCGGGCAUGCCUGUUCGAGCGUCAUUUCAACCCUCGAGCCCCUCUGGGCUUGGUGUUGGGGAUCGGCCGCCGCCUCUGGCUGGCCGGCCCCGAAAUACAGUGGCGGUCCCGCCGCAGCGUCCUCUGCGUAGUAGCACACACCUCGCACUGGAACGCGGCGCGGCCACGCCGUAAAGCAAAGGGGGCGCAAGCCUCCUUUCUCUUUCAAGGUUGACCUCGGAUCAGGUAGGAAUACCCGCUGAACUUAA